Molecule: small RNA, 36 nt
Filed under: Bombyx mori (domestic silkworm)
Lineage: Eukaryota; Metazoa; Arthropoda; Insecta; Lepidoptera; Bombycidae
Description: ovarian small RNA-4843
Source: RNAcentral
CCUGAAAUCACAGUCGUACAGGCGAUGCCUGCUGUU